UACGGGGGGGGCGAGCGUUGUUCGGAUUUAUUGGGCGUAAAGGGUGCGUAGGCGGCGGAGUAAGUUGGGUGUGAAAUCCCGGGGCUUAACCUCGGAAUUGCAUUCAAUACUGCUUCGCUUGAGUACUGGAGAGGAGGCUGGAAUUUACGGUGUAGCAGUGAAAUGCGUAGAUAUCGUAAGGAAGGCCGGUGGCGAAAGCGAGCCUCUGGACAGUUACUGACGCUGAUGCACGAAGGCCAGGGGAGCAAACGGG
This 253-nucleotide ribosomal RNA is filed under the name uncultured bacterium. RNAcentral's name for it is "partial 16S ribosomal RNA". It matches the Rfam family "Bacterial small subunit ribosomal RNA", at positions 524 to 776 of the family's 1533-position model. The record is from RNAcentral.